AGAAUUUUGUCCCCCACGCCGAGCUGUUGCCCCGCCCUCGCCGCUGCCAUGGCGGCAGCUCCGCCACUCACCAAAGCUGAGUAUCUGAAGCGUUACUUGUCUGGGACAGAUGCUGGCUUGGAAGGAGGUCCCGAGGCCGGUCGCAAGCGGCGCAAAAAACGGCCGAAGCCUGGAGGCGCUGGCGGCAAGGGAAUGCGGAUUGUUGAUGAUGAUGUGGGCUGGGCGGCUAUCUCUACUGCUAAGCCGGAAAAGGAGGAGGAAGAGGAUGGAGAUUUGCCUGUGGUGGCUGAGUUUGUGGAUGAGCGUCCAGAAGAGGUAAAGCAGAUGGAGGCCUUCCGCUCCAGUGCCAAGUGGAAGCUUCUGGGAGGCCACGGUGAAGAUGGACAUUUUCAUCACGAUGACCAAGAUUCAUCUCCUCCUAGGAGGGUCCGUCAUGACACCCCAGACACAUCUCCUCCCAGAAAGGCCCGUCAUGACACCCCAGACCCAUCUCCUCCCAGGAAGGCCCGUCAUGACACCCCAGACACAUCUCCUCCCAGAAAGGCCCGUCAUGACACCCCAGACCCAUCUCCUCCCAGGAAGGCCCGUCAUGACACCCCAGACCCAUCUCCUCCCAGGAGAGUUCGUCAUGACACCCCGGAUCUAUCUCCCCCAAGGAGAGUUCGUCAUGACACCCCGGAUCUAUCUCCUCCCAGGAGAGUCCGCCAUGACACCCCGGAUCCAUCUCCUCCCAGGAGAGUCCGCCAUGACUUAGAUGCUUCUCCCCCCAGGAAGUCUCAUCGUAAUUCUUCAGCCGUAUCUCCUAGGAGAGGCCAUCAUGGUUCCUUAGGUACCUCUUCUCCGAGACAGACCCAUAACCACUCCCCUACUGCAGCCCAGCAUAGAAGGACUCUUGACUCUUCAGGUACACAGCAUCUCAGGAGGGCCCAUCAUGAGUCCCCUGAUUUGGAACUGCACAAAGCCAAAAGUAGUAAAGCUGCAGAAAGAGCCCCUAGCAAGGCUGCAUCCCAGAGUGGGCUAGGACCCUCUCACCCAUCACUCUCCACCAACAGCAAGUACGAGCACGACUCUGACCUCUCUCCUCCACGGAAACGGCAAGCAAAGGCUCAUUUUGAAGCUAAGAAACAGCUUGAUUCUAAAGGUGUCUACCAAAAAGCCUCUGAUUCAGAUCUUUCUCCUCCACGGAAAAAAAAAAAUUCGGGGCACCAGGAUUCUGAUUCAGAUCUGUCACCACCACGGAACAGACCAAGGCGGCAGAGCUCUGACUCCGACCUCUCUCCACCCCGGAGAAGACAGAGGACCAAAUCCUCUGAUUCUGACCUCUCUCCACCUCGAAGGAGUCCCCGUCCUGGCAAGAAGACUGCACACAUGUAUUCCGGAGCAAAAACUGGGUUGGUCACUGAUGUUCAGCGGGAGCACCAGGAACUCAAGAAACAAGACCAGGACACCACAGACCUCGGAGUUUGAAUUCACUGAAACUGUAUUUCGAGACAAGUCUGGUCGGAAGAGGAAUUUGAAGCUAGAGCGCUUGGAACAGAGGAGAAAAGCAGAGAAAGACUCAGAGCGAGAUGAGCUAUAUGCCCAGUGGGGGAAAGGGCUUGCCCAGAGCCGGCAGCAGCAACAGAAUGUAGAAGAUGCAAUGAAGGAGAUGCAGAAGCCUCUGGCCCGCUACAUAGAUGAUGAAGAUCUGGAUCGGAUGCUGAGAGAACAAGAAAGAGAAGGGGACCCGAUGGCCAACUUUAUUAAGAAGAAUAAAGCUAAGGAGAACAAGAAUAAGAAAGUGAAGCCCCGCUACAGUGGUCCUGCUCCUCCUCCCAAUAGAUUCAACAUUUGGCCUGGGUAUCGCUGGGAUGGAGUGGACAGAUCCAAUGGCUUUGAACAGAAGCGCUUUGCCAGGCUCGCCAGCAAGAAGGCUGUGGAGGAGCUUGCCUACAAGUGGAGUGUGGAGGAUAUGUGACACCACCCCCCCCCCAGGCCAUGUGACCCCUGAGGCCAUGUGAUGCUGUGGUGCUGUUAGCACCAGCUCACAUCCAGCUCUAAAGGAGUCCUGCUAAGAGACGCAGACCAGCAAGUUGCUGUCAGCCUGACCUUUGGACAGGCACCUAACCUGGCUGUGCCCUCACUGUCUGUGGCUGGCUUGGGCAGGACACGGUGACUUCUUUAUCCCAGGGUUUGUUCUUGGCCAGUGUUUUCCUUUUUCUUAAAAAUAAACACAUAUUUAUUUUUUUAUAAUCA
This is an RNA transcript of Mus musculus (house mouse), 2235 nucleotides long. It is a transcript of the gene named BUD13 homolog, with no coding region annotated. The record is from RefSeq and is marked provisional. Lineage: Eukaryota; Metazoa; Chordata; Mammalia; Rodentia; Muridae. The transcript is spliced from 10 exons.